CCUACGGGUGGCAGCAGUGGGGAAUAUUGGACAAUGGGCGAAAGCCUGAUCCAGCCAUGCCGCGUGUGUGAAGAAGGCCUUCGGGUUGUAAAGCACUUUCAGUGGGGAAGAAAGCCUUGGGGCUAAUACCCUCGAGGAAGGACAUCACCCACAGAAGAAGCACCGGCUAACUCCGUGCCAGCAGCCGCGGUAAUACGGAGGGUGCGAGCGUUAAUCGGAAUUACUGGGCGUAAAGCGCGCGUAGGCGGUCUGAUAAGCCGGUUGUGAAAGCCCCGGGCUCAACCUGGGAACGGCAUCCGGAACUGUCAGGCUAGAGUGCAGGAGAGGAAGGUAGAAUUCCCGGUGUGGCGGUGAAAUGCGUAGAGAUCGGGAGGAAUACCAGUGGCGAAGGCGGCCUUCUGGACUGACACUGACGCUGAGGUGCGAAAGCGUGGGUAGCAAACAGGAUUAGAUACCCCAGUAGUC
RNAcentral lists this ribosomal RNA (465 nucleotides) under Vreelandella stevensii. RNAcentral describes it as "partial 16S ribosomal RNA". It matches the Rfam family "Bacterial small subunit ribosomal RNA", at positions 338 to 795 of the family's 1533-position model. Lineage: Bacteria; Pseudomonadati; Pseudomonadota; Gammaproteobacteria; Oceanospirillales; Halomonadaceae. The record is from RNAcentral.